AUUACUAUUUCUUUCCGCAUCUCUCUCUCUCUCUCUCUCUGCGCGCGCGCAACUGCGGCAACUUUCAUAUCGCUGCAUUGGCUUAUGCAGUUAUGAAUUGUAUGCAGCGCUCGGUGUAUUUCCGCCGCUCUGAUGUCUUGAAAAGAACGAUUGCUAUUAACUAUGGCGAACAACCUAAGGCGCUUCCGAAGUUGAUGAGGGAAACUUAAGUGAUUCCUUUGGGUGGUUAAUUAGCUUCUAAAAUGCAUGAGUGAAGAUAAAAAAACUGGAGACAUUGGGGUCUGAAGGUAAUAGCAUAAAUAAGUGCUUGAAUAGUUGGCUGACAUUGGAGUUCCAUUCAUAGUCUGUAAAGACAAAUGGAGAAAGUAUUUGAACAUGUCAGUUUGGAAAUUUCGGUUUGUAUCUUUUGAUCCUAGGGUUUGGAGACAAUUUUAGGAAGUGCAUCUUUUCAUGCAGUAUUUGUUAUCGGAUUUUCAAACCUUAUUAAACCGUCCACCUGGCCUUUUCAGCAA
Long non-coding RNA from Juglans microcarpa x Juglans regia, 512 nucleotides. RefSeq lists it as uncharacterized. Lineage: Eukaryota; Viridiplantae; Streptophyta; Magnoliopsida; Fagales; Juglandaceae. The transcript is spliced from 2 exons. The record is from RefSeq and is a predicted model, not a curated record.